This 1165-nucleotide long non-coding RNA is filed under the name Aquila chrysaetos chrysaetos. RNAcentral describes it as "lncRNA (ENSACCG00020002566.1)". The record is from RNAcentral. Lineage: Eukaryota; Metazoa; Chordata; Aves; Accipitriformes; Accipitridae.
GUGACACCUGCACUGUUAGCUUCACAUCUGUGGGCUUACUGCUUUACAGCAAUGAGGAAAAAUGAGGGAGGUGUGACACCUGGGCUCACGCGAACGAAAGCAGGAAGAAGAGGGAGCAGUGUGUCUGUUUGCAGGCAGAACUGACACAACAAUAAUUUCACCAUCUCACAAUGUUCAGGCAGAACCAGAACUGUGGGGAAGAAAAAAAAAAAAGUUUUUCAACUGAGUGUCCCCCAGCCAUAGCUGAUGGAAGUCCUCCCCUUCAGAAGAGCAUCCUUCCCCAGAAAGACAGGACUGAGUAUCCCGACAUCUUGAUGCUGCUGUUUUCCUCACUGUUUGUUAACGGGCUACCAUAAGUAGCUCUCCAGAGCUUGAAGACUUCAGCAAAUUUCAGUCUUGAGAUGUCUAUCUCUGUAUACGGAAUAACGGGAGACAGCCAAAUAGAAGACUUAUUAGGUGUCAUGACAUCUAUGUUCCAAUCACCUUGUGCAUUUGACUGGAUGCAUUACGAUUAAAAUAAUUUAAGGAGCACAGCCAUUCAGCACUUUUGGGGGCAUUAUUUUACUUCCCAGCGUUACAAGGAUAAAAAAAAAAAUUAUCCCAUCUGAAACAAUCCUCUAGAGGCAGUUCCUUUGCAUAUACUUACUGAAGAGAAUCUUCUCUGUUAUGAAUUACUACAACUUCCAUAGUUCUUUCAGUACCGUACUCACAGUCUGACGGCCUAGAAGCCCACAAAGGUAGAAGAAAUACUUCUUUUGCAUUGGUGAUUUGAAGCUUUUUAAAAUGAAGUUAAAAGAUACUUCCAAUGUUUGCACUUAACUUCUUAACAGCAUAAGAAGGAGAAUUAAAAAAAAGUGUAACUCACACUUCAACUGUUUACAGAACUUUGGGUUAUCUUGAAAUUGAAGAUUGUUAAACAUCUUGUUUCCACUACUGUAUGUUUUACUGAAAUAAAAGAUUAUCUGCUGAACAAAAUUACUUCUUUUCCAAGUUGCUUAGCUAUAUUUUGGGUUGUGGGGUUAAAAACAGCUCAGUGAAAUCCUGCCACGUCGAUUGCCUUUAACUGGAGCAAUUAGAACUCGAUUUAAUAGAAUUUGUGUCCUCUGAGGGUCCAAGCCUUUUCAAUGACUGUAACUACUUCUGAUGAGAUACACAAGGAUGUCUG